Molecule: ribosomal RNA, 442 nt
Filed under: uncultured bacterium
Lineage: Bacteria
Description: partial 16S ribosomal RNA
Rfam family: Bacterial small subunit ribosomal RNA
Source: RNAcentral
CCUACGGGUGGCUGCAGUGGGGAAUAUUGGGCAAUGGACGCAAGCCUGACCCAGCAACGCCGCGUGAAGGAAGAAGGCUUUCGGGUUGUAAACUGCUUUUAUGGGGGAAGAGCAGAAGACAGUACCCCUUGAAUAAGCCACAGCUUACUACGUGCCAGCAGCCGCGGUAAUACGUAGGUGGCAAGCGGUGUCCGGAUUUACUGGGUGGAGAGGGCGUGCAGCCGGGGAGACAAGUCAGAUGUGAAAUCCACGGGCGCAACCCGUGAACUGCAUUUGAAACUGUUUCACUUGAGUGUCGGAGAGGUAAACGGAAUUCCUUGUGUAGCGGUGAAAUGCGUAGAUAUAAGGAAGAACACCAGUGGCGAAGGCAGAUUACUGGACGAUAACUGACGGUGAGGCGCGAAAGCGUGGGGAGCAAACAGGAUUAGAUACCCCAGUAGUC